UACGAAGGGUGCAAGCGUUACUCGGAAUUACUGGGCGUAAAGCGUGCGUAGGCGGUUUCGCAAGUCCGAUGUGAAAUCCCCGGGCUUAACCUGGGAACUGCAUCUGUGACUGCAUCGCUGGAGUGCGGCAGAGGGGGAUGGAAUUCCGCGUGUAGCAGUGAAAUGCGUAGAUAUGCGGAGGAACACCGAUGGCGAAGGCAAUCCCCUGGGCCUGCACUGACGCUCAUGCACGAAAGCGUGGGGAGCAAACAGG
Molecule: ribosomal RNA, 253 nt
Filed under: uncultured bacterium
Lineage: Bacteria
Description: partial 16S ribosomal RNA
Rfam family: Bacterial small subunit ribosomal RNA
Source: RNAcentral